UUUUAUGGAGAGUUUGAUCCUGGCUCAGAGUGAACGCUGGCGGCGUGCCUAAUACAUGCAAGUCGAACGAUGAAGCUUCUAGCUUGCUAGAGUGCUGAUUAGUGGCGCACGGGUGAGUAACGCAUAGGUCAUGUGCCUCUUAGUUUGGGAUAGCCAUUGGAAACGAUGAUUAAUACCAGAUACUCCCUACGGGGGAAAGAUUUAUCGCUAAGAGAUCAGCCUAUGUCCUAUCAGCUUGUUGGU
Molecule: ribosomal RNA, 243 nt
Filed under: Helicobacter pylori
Lineage: Bacteria; Pseudomonadati; Campylobacterota; Epsilonproteobacteria; Campylobacterales; Helicobacteraceae
Description: partial 16S ribosomal RNA
Rfam family: Bacterial small subunit ribosomal RNA
Source: RNAcentral